UAGAGUUUGAUCAUGGCUCAGGAUGAACGCUGGCGGCGUGCCUAAUACAUGCAAGUCGAGCGAAUGGAUUAAGAGCUUGCUCUUAUGAAGUUAGCGGCGGACGGGUGAGUAACACGUGGGUAACCUGCCCAUAAGACUGGGAUAACUCCGGGAAACCGGGGCUAAUACCGGAUAACAUUUUGAACCGCAUGGUUCGAAAUUGAAAGGCGGCUUCGGCUGUCACUUAUGGAUGGACCCGCGUCGCAUUAGCUAGUUGGUGAGGUAACGGCUCACCAAGGCAACGAUGCGUAGCCGACCUGAGAGGGUGAUCGGCCACACUGGGACUGAGACACGGCCCAGACUCCUACGGGAGGCAGCAGUAGGGAAUCUUCCGCAAUGGACGAAAGUCUGACGGAGCAACGCCGCGUGAGUGAUGAAGGCUUUCGGGUCGUAAAACUCUGUUGUUAGGGAAGAACAAGUGCUAGUUGAAUAAGCUGGCACCUUGACGGUACCUAACCAGAAAGCCACGGCUAACUACGUGCCAGCAGCCGCGGUAAUACA
RNAcentral lists this ribosomal RNA (540 nucleotides) under bacterium enrichment culture clone BW009. Its description in RNAcentral is "bacterial SSU rRNA". It matches the Rfam family "Bacterial small subunit ribosomal RNA", at positions 1 to 527 of the family's 1533-position model. The record is from RNAcentral.